AGAGUUUGAUCCUGGCUCAGGACGAACGCUGGCGGCGUGCCUAACACAUGCAAGUCGAACGGAAGUAUCAGCAAUGGUGCUUUAGUGGCGAACGGGUGAGUAACGCGUAGACAACCUGCCUCAAAGAUGGGGACAACACCGCGAAAGUGGUGCUAAUACCGAAUGUGUUAUCUUGGCUGCAUGGCUAAGAUAAGAAAGGUGGCCUCUUAGCAAUGCUACCGCUAUGAGAUGGGUCUGCGUCUGAUUAGCUAGUUGGUGAGGUAACGGCUCACCAAGGCGACGAUCAGUAGCCGGUCUGAGAGGAUGAACGGCCACACUGGGACUGAGACACGGCCCAGACUCCUACGGGAGGCAGCAGUGGGGAAUCUUCCACAAUGGACGAAAGUCUGAUGGAGCAACGCCGCGUGAGUGAAGAAGGUCUUCGGAUUGUAAAGCUCUGUCGAUCGGGACGAAUGUGCUUAUUGUGAAGAAUGAUAAGUAAUGACGGUACCGGAGGAGGAAGCCACGGCUAACUACGUGCCAGCAGCCGCGGUAAUACGUAGGUGGCGAGCGUUGUCCGGAAUCAUUGGGCGUAAAGAGCGCGUAGGCGGGAUUGUAAGUCUAUCUUAAAAGUGCGGGGCUCAACCUCGUGAUGGGAUAGAAACUAUAAUUCUUGAGUGCAGGAGAGGAAAGUGGAAUUCCCAGUGUAGUGGUGAAAUGCGUAGAUAUUGGGAGGAACACCAGUGGCGAAGGCGACUUUCUGGACUGUGUCUGACGCUGAGGCGCGAAAGCCAGGGAAGUGAACGGGAUUAGAUACCCCGGUAAUCCUGGCCGUAAACGAUGGGUACUAGGUGUAGAGGGUAUCGACCCCUUCUGUGCCGGAGUUAACGCAAUAAGUACCCCGCCUGGGGAGUACGGCCGCAAGGUUGAAACUCAAAUGAAUUGACGG
This 928-nucleotide ribosomal RNA is filed under the name uncultured bacterium. RNAcentral describes it as "bacterial SSU rRNA". It matches the Rfam family "Bacterial small subunit ribosomal RNA", at positions 8 to 916 of the family's 1533-position model. The record is from RNAcentral.